AUGGUUAAAGUUAAUUUAUUUCCCCCCAUUCACGUUGUUUGUUCACUCUUGGCGUUGCCUAGCCGCACACCACAACUGAACUGCCCUCUCUCCGCUUUGGCCCUAAGCACUUUCAAACCCAACACGUCGGCUCCAGCGCGCAUUGGCCCGAACGGGCACAGCACCAGACGGGACAUUUUCAGUGCCAAAGCCGGCCCAGUCCCACCCACUCCUGACGGCCGCGGAAGUUUAGGCAGAACUUCAUGCCUGUCGGAUCGGCUACUCCCGGGACAGAGGCUCUCCCGAUCCCCUCACUGGCUUACACCUGAUGUGCUGGGACACUCAUUGCCGCCGAACUUCCCCGCCAGUGGCUCGGUUACAGCCGAACACGGCGUGGGCAGGCUUCGCACGCCCCGGUGGAAGUGACUGCACAAGAUUCCAGGCAAGAAGUCGGGGCUUAUGUAGCUUUUUCUAUAUUUUGAUGUGGCACUGAAGGAUUGUUAGUAUACCUUGAAUUUGGACAGACUGCAAAAGAUUAUUUGGAUUCCACCACCACCACCCCACCUCUUCUUACAAGAUGUAAAUGUUUCUUUCAGGAUUUUCUAUGAUAUGCCAAUAUAGAACCAGAGAUUUGAGAUCCUCUGAAAAGUAAAGCAUUGGGUCCUCUUUUCAUUACUGUAAAACUGAACUACUUUGUCUACCUGAGGAAUAGUUCCAAAUUAAUUCUGGGUGCUAUUUUUUUCUAAAGCAGCAAAGAAGAAAAUGAUAAAACCAGCAUCCAAAGAAAGGUACAGUAUACACAGGGUAUGUCUACACUGCAGUUAAACACCCCUUGCUGGCCUGUCAACUGACUCAGGCUUCUGCUGUGGGGUUAUAAACUUGCAGUGUAGACAGCCUGAAUGCAAGCUCUAGGCCUUUCCUCUCACAACCUCUUCUCCUCACACAAAUCCACACUCCUGUAUUUUUGUCUGGCUCACCUUAAUUGUGGCUUGAUCUUUCAUUUCUUGUACCCAACAUUCACAUUGAUUUUAAUGGGAGUUUUUCAUGUACAAAAUGCUUCGUUCUGAUGUUCACGCUUCCAGUGCACUUUUCUUCUCCAGCUUGAAACAUUAGAAAUAUGAUCCCUUUUUGUGAUGGAUCCAGCAUUUUGUACAUGAAAAACUCCCAUUAAAAUCACUGUGAGUUUUGGGUACAAGAAAUGAAAGAUCAAGCCACAAUUAAGGUGAGUCAGAGAUGACAGAUAAAUGAAGCAUUUAUUUUUAUGGGAAAUUGUCAAAAAGCGGGUUUGAUCACUUGUGCUCACAGAACUGUUUUUUUCCUCAUUUGUUUUCAGUAUGUACAGUAUCAAACAACAUGAAAUGUGGUAUGGCAAAACAAUGCAAGAAUUAUAUACAGUAACUCCUCACUUAAAGUCAUCCCGGUUAAC
This 1405-nucleotide long non-coding RNA is filed under the name Chrysemys picta bellii (western painted turtle). RNAcentral's name for it is "lncRNA (ENSCPBG00000011412.1)". The record is from RNAcentral. Lineage: Eukaryota; Metazoa; Chordata; Testudines; Emydidae.